Non-coding RNA from Hordeum vulgare subsp. vulgare (domesticated barley), 124 nucleotides. Lineage: Eukaryota; Viridiplantae; Streptophyta; Magnoliopsida; Poales; Poaceae. The record is from Rfam.
GUUAUGCUCCCUCCGUCUGGAAAUAUUUUUCCUAAAAAUGAAUAAAAUGAAUGUAUGUAUAACUAAAAUAAGUCUAGAUACAUUCAAUUAUAGGACAAGUAUUUCCGGACGGAGGGAGUAGUAA